Molecule: unclassified non-coding RNA, 201 nt
Filed under: plant metagenome
Description: partial contains small subunit ribosomal RNA and internal transcribed spacer 1
Rfam family: Eukaryotic small subunit ribosomal RNA (bases 1-46)
Source: RNAcentral
AAGUCGUAACAAGGUCUCCGUAGGUGAACCUGCGGAGGGAUCAUUACCGAGUGCGGGCCCUCGCGCCCAACCUCCAACCCUUUGUCGAUUCAUAACCGUUGCCUCGGGGGGCGACCCGGACGCGAGCCCGGGAGUCCCCCAGAGGUCCAAUCAAACACACUGCGUCUUUGCGUCGGAGUAUUGAAUAUAAAUCAAUCAAAA